CAGGGUGUCGCGGGCUACCCGCAGCCGCCGCACGGCGGCUU
RNAcentral lists this ribosomal RNA (41 nucleotides) under Heterocapsa rotundata. RNAcentral describes it as "partial Eukaryotic small subunit ribosomal RNA". The record is from RNAcentral. Lineage: Eukaryota; Dinophyceae; Peridiniales; Heterocapsaceae.